Molecule: ribosomal RNA, 459 nt
Filed under: uncultured bacterium
Lineage: Bacteria
Description: partial 16S ribosomal RNA
Rfam family: Bacterial small subunit ribosomal RNA
Source: RNAcentral
CCUACGGGUGGCAGCAGUGAGGAAUAUUGGUCAAUGGUCGGGAGACUGAACCAGCCAAGCCGCGUGAGGGAUGAAGGUACAGAGUAUCGUAAACCUCUUUUGUCAGGGAACAAAGGCUGGGACGUGUCCCCGGAUGAGUGUACCUGAAGAAAAAGCAUCGGCUAACUCCGUGCCAGCAGCCGCGGUAAUACGGGGGAUGCGAGCGUUAGCCGGAUUUAUUGGGUUGAAAGGGUGCGCAGGCGGUCUGUUAAGUCAGCGGUAAAAGCCCGGGGCUCAACCCCGGCCUGCCGUUGAAACUGGCAGUCUCGAGUUGGAGAGAAGUAUGCGGAAUGCGCGGUGUAGCGGUGAAAUGCAUAGAUAUCGCGCAGAACUCCGAUUGCGAAGGCAGCAUGCCGGCUCCACACUGACGCUGAGGCACAAAAGCGUGGGUAUCGAACAGGAUUAGAUACCCGAGUAGUC